Molecule: long non-coding RNA, 993 nt
Filed under: Junco hyemalis (dark-eyed junco)
Lineage: Eukaryota; Metazoa; Chordata; Aves; Passeriformes; Passerellidae
Description: lncRNA (ENSJHYG00000015268.1)
Source: RNAcentral
CGCGAGCACGCCCUUGCCUUUGUCAGCUAAUUGGCCGGGCUUUCUCAUCUAUUAUGUAAAUAGCCCCGGUCUCUGCGGCGCGGUGUCGUAACGCUCCGCAUUCCUGGGAGCCUGCGCUCCCGGUUCAUGGAAUUGUGCUCCCGGCCCCGGGCGAAAACAGCAGCAACAACAACAACAAAAAGCAGGCGAGCCUUUGGCUGGGCUUUGGGAGGCUCCAGAAGAAAGUGUUCCGGGCAGGAGUUCAGGGCAUGGACAGCGGGAGGAGGAGACAGCGGGAAAAGCUGGAUAAUCCUGGCCUUGCGUCACCUCCCGCGGCCCCACGUGCACAGCUUAAAAUCCAUCGGGGAUUGUCUGAAAAGCUUUGAUGAGGUGCCUUUAAUUGGGCUUGGAGUUCUGGAGGCAUUACCUCGGAUAAAGGUGAGGGAAUUGCACAAAGAGGUGGGAAAAAUUAUUUUGGAUUAAAAUUUGACUCCUCUUUUUCACUUUUCCCACAGCUUGGUGGUGCUGUGUGAGGAUUUCCCUUUAUUCCAAGGGAAAUUCCCCAUUAUCUUCCCCAAAAAAAAACAUUUGGAAAGCCAAAAUCAUGGAAUAACGGAAUUGUUUUAGUUGGAAAAGCCCUGACCGCCACCUUGUCCCUGAUGUAGGGACAGGUUUGGGCUCAGGAAUUUUCUCUAAUAUUCCUUGGAAAGGUUUGUGUUGAAAAAAUUGGGAAAUGGAGGAGGUGUUCACAAAUGUGAACAAUGGGGGGGUGGCUGGAAGUGAGUUAAGAGCUGUAAUUUUUAAAAAACAAUAUUCUCACAUGUAAUUUUAUCUUAAAAAUGGGACAGGAACCAUUUCUGGGUGAUCGCAAUGAGAAAAAAAAUGAUCUUAAUUAAUUCAAAUAUUAUUUCAAAUUUUCUUUUAAUUGGAAAAUUAAGCCCAGAAAAUCCCAGUGCUUUGACCUUCAAGGGUUAUUUCAAUAAACCUGAUUUUGGCCAAAAGUUGAGGUGAAAU